This is a long non-coding RNA of Arabidopsis lyrata subsp. lyrata, 1863 nucleotides long. RefSeq lists it as uncharacterized. Lineage: Eukaryota; Viridiplantae; Streptophyta; Magnoliopsida; Brassicales; Brassicaceae. The transcript has 4 exons. The record is from RefSeq and is a predicted model, not a curated record.
AAUAGACCAAACAACUUUUUUGGGCCUGAGCCGUAUCAGUAGACUGAUACUUCUGAUACUGGGUAUCAGUCGACGUGGCACGUGCUGAUUGGUGCUGCAAACGCGUUUUUGGCUAAAGGCAGAGAAAAAAAAAUUUCUCACCUCUCUCUCCCGAGAAAACCUAGAACUCCUCCUCCUCCGCCGAUUUCGAGUUUCCCUCUCCUCCGCCGAUUCGUCUUCACGAUCUUGCUUUCGGUACCUACUCUUCUCUUCCGGCCGUCUAGGGUUUCUCUCAGAGUGUCAUCAUAAAAAAAACAGAUUCUUGUCUCCGAUCCUCGUCGCUCUCCAGUCAUCUGAAGAUUCUUCGAGCUUCUCUUGACCACACACUUUCAAUGGCGAAAGCAGUGACCGCUCCAACUCCGUCUCUCUCCGAGGUUACAUUAAAGGAUUGUGGUACCGGCUCCUGUUUCAUCAUACAGUUCUGGGUUUCAGGCGCCUUUUCUUCCGCAAAAGAAUCAAGGCAAGAAGAAGUUUCCACAGAUUGGUCAUGUUUAUGAGAUUCUUGUUAUAGGUGCUCUUUCUCAUACUGGUUUGGAGUCAUCGAAUUUGAUUGUUGGUAUUGAUGUCACUAAGAGCAAUGGUUGCUUCUGUCACAAGGCCAACUUCUUUUGCACCCAUUAUUGAAAGGACGAUGACAAUUGUGGAAGAAAGUGGAGGGCAAUACCAUGUUCUUCUCAUAAUUGUUGAUGGACAGCUGUGGAGUCACUCAAGGAUGGUGAGAAUUGUCAGAUCCUGAAACGAUGAGAAGCUGCAAAGGUGAAAGGUAAAACUUAUCAGUUUCCAGUUUCUGUGUGUUAAAGCUGCAUCCGAUCUGAAUAGAGAUUAGGAACAAUGAAUUGAAACUUAAAUGAAUUCAAUUGAUUUGAAUUGAUAUUUUGAACAAUUGAAUUGACUAGAAACUGAUAAGUUGAAUUUAAUAGUGAUUAGGUAGAUAUUGUUGAGAGUGAAUUUAAUGUCAUCUGUAUAAGAAUAUUUUCUCUGUGUAUAGAGUCUUUUUAAUGAUCUAGAUAUUGUUGGUGAUGAGGUUGUAUUAAAUGCAAGUCUGAACUUAAAAUUAAAGGGAAUUAAAAUGAUGAUGAGACAUUAGCUUUUUUAACUGAAGUUAUGAGAUGGGAAGUGUCUCAGUGAGUUGAAUUAGUAAACCAAACACUUAAACUGAACUAUAAUGACUCGUAUUCAAUACAAAUUUGGUUGAUCUUGUCAUGAGUGUUUGUCUUUAUAAUAAGUUUCUGAGAACUUAAACAAACCAUUAAACUGAACUAAAACACAAAAUGGCUUCCAACUUGAACUUUUCCUCCUCUCAAUCCUUUACCAAUCUCUUGUUUAGCCAAGAAGAAAACCCAACCCCUCUCAGUCCUUCACAGCCUCCUCCUCUCAGUCCUUCACAACCUCUUUGUUCUGAAUCCCAAACACCCACAGCAGUAGCUAGGGAACCUAGAGUGAGAUGGAGUGUUCCUGAAGAGAAGGCACUUGCAAGUGCCUGGCUCAACACAUCCAAAGACUCUGUUGUAGGGAAUGAGCAGAGAUCUGCUGCCUUUUGGGAUAGGGUUGCAGUAUAUUAUGCUGCAUGUCCUGCUGUCUCUAAGCUCACCAUCCGAGAGGCCAACACUUGCAAGCAGAAAUGGCAAAAAAUGAAUGAGCUUGUCAUGAAGUUUGCAGGCUGUUAUGAGUUUGCCUCUCGGACUCCUCGCAGUGGAGAGACUGAAGAUGACGUUCUUGUGCUUGCCUACAAGCUGUACCACCAGGAUCAAAAAACCAAGUUCAGUCUUGAGCAUGUAUGGAGAAUCCUCAAGACUGAUCAGAAAUGGUGCAAUUGGUGUGAGA